GAUGAACGCUGGCGGCGUGCCUAAUACAUGCAAGUCGAGCGAACAGACGAGGAGCUUGCUCCUCUGACGUUAGCGGCGGACGGGUGAGUAACACGUGGAUAACCUACCUAUAAGACUGGGAUAACUUCGGGAGACCGGAGCUAAUACCGGAUAAUAUAUUGAACCGCAUGGUUCAAUAGUGAAAGACGGUUUUGCUGUCACUUAUAGAUGGAUCCGCGCCGCAUUAGCUAGUUGGUAAGGUAACGGCUUACCAAGGCAACGAUGCGUGCCGACCUGAGAGGGUGAUCGGCCACACUGGAACUGAGACACGGUCCAGACUCCUGCGGGAGGCAGCAGUAGGGAAUCUUCCGCAAUGGGCGAAAGCCUGACGGAGCAACGCCGCGUGAGUGAUGAAGGUCUUCGGAUCGUAAAACUCUGUUAUUAGGGAAGAACAAAUGUGUAAGUAACUAUGCACGUCUUGACGGUACCUAAUCAGAAAGCCACGGCUAACUACGUG
RNAcentral lists this ribosomal RNA (496 nucleotides) under uncultured bacterium. RNAcentral describes it as "partial 16S ribosomal RNA". It matches the Rfam family "Bacterial small subunit ribosomal RNA", at positions 28 to 507 of the family's 1533-position model. The record is from RNAcentral.